RNAcentral lists this ribosomal RNA (496 nucleotides) under uncultured bacterium. RNAcentral describes it as "partial 16S ribosomal RNA". It matches the Rfam family "Bacterial small subunit ribosomal RNA", at positions 29 to 507 of the family's 1533-position model. The record is from RNAcentral.
AUGCACGCUGGCGGCGUGCCUAAUACAUGCCAGUCGAGCGAACAGAUGAGGAGCUUGCUCCCCUGACGUUAGCGGCGGACGGGUGAGUAACACGUGGAUAACCUACCUAUAAGACUGGGAUAACUUCGGGAAACCGGAGCUAAUACCGGAUAAUAUAUUGAACCGCAUGGUUCAAUAGUGAAAGACGGUUUUGCUGUCACUUAUAGAUGGAUCCGCGCCGCAUUAGCUAGUUGGUAAGGUAACGGCUUACCAAGGCAACGAUGCGUAGCCGACCUGAGAGGGUGAUCGGCCACACUGGAACUGAGACACGGUCCAGACUCCUACGGGAGGCAGCAGUAGGGAAUCUUCCGCAAUGGGCGAAAGCCUGACGGAGCAACGCCGCGUGAGUGAUGAAGGUCUUCGGAUCGUAAAACUCUGUUAUUAGGGAAGAACAAAUGUGUAAGUAACUAUGCACGUCUUGACGGUACCUAAUCAGAAAGCCACGGCUAACUACGUG